GCUGAAACGUCGGAUUCCAUAUGAUCCCCGAAGUUAAGCAACGUCGACCAUAGUCAGUACCUAGAGGGGUGACCGCUUGGGAAAAUCAGGUACUGUA
Non-coding RNA from Acanthosepion pharaonis, 97 nucleotides. The record is from the annotation of a GenBank genome assembly. Lineage: Eukaryota; Metazoa; Mollusca; Cephalopoda; Sepiida; Sepiidae.